GGGACUCCAAGGGUUUGUGGCAUCCAUGUAGUACUACCUUGAAUCCUCUCGAACAGGCACAAUCUCACUUUGAGGUCCACUACCUGCAACACUGUGAUCGGUAGAAAAAAAUAUGCAGAAUAUAGUAUGAGUACGAGAUAAUAUUUACUCGGUAAGUAUCAAGUUUAACCUCGAUUAGGUAAUGACGAGGUUCAAGUUAUGAUUAUACUCGCUAAACGAAGAAGCUGUGCAAUAACUCAAAUACCUAGCAAUAAAAAUAUAAUGAGAUGUAGUACCAUCUACAUGACAAAAAAAAAGAGUUAUCAACUCAUCAUAAGUAAAUCAAGUUUGAAAAAUAAUUACUAGUCAAUAACAGAAAAUAGAGUAGCGUGUUGAAAACAACACAAAAUCAUGCAAAUGUUAUUACCGAGUGCUAUAUGAAUGCGAUAUACACCUGUAUAUACAUUAAAAUUAGACAAAUAAGGUCCAAAACUAAAGGUUAUUCCCUCACACAAGAUUAGAAAAGAUACUAACCUUAAUAAACUCAAACAAUCCUUUAAAAUAGCCUUUCCUAUAAAGAUAUCACCUUCUUCUAUCUCAAAUCUAGCAAAUAAAUAACUCAAUAAUAUCAAAUAAUGCUAUAGGAAUCAAUUCCAAAUAAUAAAGUCUCAUUCUUUACCCAAUUCCCAAAAAUUAAUAAACGUCAAUCCUGGACCCAUAUAGUCAAAACUAGAGUCAAAGGUAGAUCUCGCUACCUAUAAUCUCGUAAGUCCAGAUAUAUGAUUAGAUUCCAAAAUCGAGUCCAAAUCAACUCUCUAAUCCCCAAUUUUUAUUUUUCAAAAUAUAGUUUCAAAGAAAACCAAAAAUUCUCUUCCAUAUUCCAUAAUCUAGGUAUAAUAAUCCACAGAGAAACGAGAUAUGAUAUCAAAAUCAAUUAGAAAUCACUCACCAUCUUGCUUUGUGUGAAAAUCCUCUCCAACAACUUCCCUAUCUAAGUCUAGAGUUCAAAAUUUGAGAUAAUAGGUCAAUCCCAAAAUUCCCUCAAUAUAGUCAGUUGCAGAAGUCACAAUUGCGACAAGAAGUUCGCAAUUGAGAGCCUUGCAAAAGUGAAACAGGCUCCCUCAACUUCAAACAUUGCAAUUGCAACCAUGAAGCGAGCCACUUUGUCACGAGGCUAAGUUCAAUAAGCACCAUGAGGACAACUAGCUUAGCUAAAACGCUCUUGCCUAGUUUCAGUCCAAGUCGGAAACAACACAAAACGUGCUAAAAAUGGCAAAUAUACAAAGUCGAAAAGGAAAUAAAGAAAGGAACACAAACGUUUUUGGAGGCCAAGGCCAAUUUUCUGUUUAUAUUGAAGCAAAGAGAGAAAUUUAC
RNAcentral lists this long non-coding RNA (1353 nucleotides) under Nicotiana benthamiana. RNAcentral's name for it is "long non-coding RNA (NBEN_LNC031555)". Lineage: Eukaryota; Viridiplantae; Streptophyta; Magnoliopsida; Solanales; Solanaceae. The record is from RNAcentral.